RNAcentral lists this transfer RNA (44 nucleotides) under Phelsuma guttata. Its description in RNAcentral is "partial tRNA-His". The record is from RNAcentral. Lineage: Eukaryota; Metazoa; Chordata; Lepidosauria; Squamata; Gekkonidae.
GGUGAGCAUAGUUUAAUAAAAACACUAAACUGUGGAUUUAGAAA